Molecule: ribosomal RNA, 978 nt
Filed under: Bacillus sp. (in: firmicutes)
Lineage: Bacteria; Bacillati; Bacillota; Bacilli; Caryophanales; Bacillaceae
Description: bacterial SSU rRNA
Rfam family: Bacterial small subunit ribosomal RNA
Source: RNAcentral
UGCAAGUCGAGCGGACCGACGGGAGCUUGCUCCCUUAGGUCAGCGGCGGACGGGUGAGUAACACGUGGGUAACCUGCCUGUAAGACUGGGAUAACUCCGGGAAACCGGGGCUAAUACCGGAUGCUUGAUUGAACCGCAUGGUUCAAUCAUAAAAGGUGGCUUUUAGCUACCACUUGCAGAUGGACCCGCGGCGCAUUAGCUAGUUGGUGAGGUAACGGCUCACCAAGGCGACGAUGCGUAGCCGACCUGAGAGGGUGAUCGGCCACACUGGGACUGAGACACGGCCCAGACUCCUACGGGAGGCAGCAGUAGGGAAUCUUCCGCAAUGGACGAAAGUCUGACGGAGCAACGCCGCGUGAGUGAUGAAGGUUUUCGGAUCGUAAAACUCUGUUGUUAGGGAAGAACAAGUACCGUUCGAAUAGGGCGGCACCUUGACGGUACCUAACCAGAAAGCCACGGCUAACUACGUGCCAGCAGCCGCGGUAAUACGUAGGUGGCAAGCGUUGUCCGGAAUUAUUGGGCGUAAAGCGCGCGCAGGCGGUUUCUUAAGUCUGAUGUGAAAGCCCCCGGCUCAACCGGGGAGGGUCAUUGGAAACUGGGGAACUUGAGUGCAGAAGAGGAGAGUGGAAUUCCACGUGUAGCGGUGAAAUGCGUAGAGAUGUGGAGGAACACCAGUGGCGAAGGCGACUCUCUGGUCUGUAACUGACGCUGAGGCGCGAAAGCGUGGGGAGCGAACAGGAUUAGAUACCCUGGUAGUCCACGCCGUAAACGAUGAGUGCUAAGUGUUAGAGGGUUUCCGCCCUUUAGUGCUGCAGCAAACGCAUUAAGCACUCCGCCUGGGGAGUACGGUCGCAAGACUGAAACUCAAAGGAAUUGACGGGGGCCCGCACAAGCGGUGGAGCAUGUGGUUUAAUUCGAAGCAACGCGAAGAACCUUACCAGGUCUUGACAUCCUCUGACAACCCUAGAGAUAGGGCUU